GAUUAUGGCUCAGGAUGAACGCUAGCUACAGGCUUAACACAUGCAAGUCGAGGGGCAUCAUGGAGUUGCUUGCAAACUCUGAUGGCGACCGGCGCACGGGUGAGUAACGCGUAUCCAACCUUCCCUAUAGUAGAGGAUAGCCCGGCGAAAGUCGGAUUAAUACUCUAUGUUUUCCGUUGCAGACAUCUAAGAUGGAACAAAGGCUUGCCGCUAUAGGAUGGGGAUGCGUCUGAUUAGGUAGUCGGCGGGGUAACGGCCCACCGAGCCAUCGAUCAGGUAGGGUUCUGAGAGGAACGGUCCCCCACAUUGGAACUGAGACACGGUACCAAACUCCUACGGGAGGCAGCAGUGAGGAAUAGUUGGUCAAGUGGGCGAGAGCCUGAACCAGCCAAGUAGCGUGCGAGGAUGACCGGCCCUAGUGGGUUAGUAAACUGUCUUUUAUGCGGGGAUAAAGUUCACUACGUGUAGUGUUUUGUAGGUACCGCAUGAAUAAGGACCGGCUAAUUCCGUGCCAGCAGCUGC
RNAcentral lists this ribosomal RNA (522 nucleotides) under uncultured bacterium. RNAcentral's name for it is "bacterial SSU rRNA". It matches the Rfam family "Bacterial small subunit ribosomal RNA", at positions 15 to 518 of the family's 1533-position model. The record is from RNAcentral.